RNAcentral lists this ribosomal RNA (380 nucleotides) under uncultured bacterium. Its description in RNAcentral is "bacterial SSU rRNA". It matches the Rfam family "Bacterial small subunit ribosomal RNA", at positions 29 to 410 of the family's 1533-position model. The record is from RNAcentral.
AUUGAACGCUGGCGGCAUGCCUUACACAUGCAAGUCGAACGGCAGCACGGGAGCAAUCCUGGUGGCGAGUGGCGAACGGGUGAGUAAUAUAUCGGAACGUGCCCAGUAGUGGGGGGAUAGCCCGGCGAAAGCCGGAUUAAUACCGCAUGAGACCUGAGGGUGAAAGCGGGGGAUCGCAAGACCUCGCGCUAUUGGAGCGGCCGAUAUCAGAUUAGCUAGUUGGUGGGGUAAAGGCCUACCAAGGCAACGAUCUGUAGUUGGUCUGAGAGGACGACCAGCCACACUGGGACUGAGACACGGCCCAGACUCCUACGGAGGCAGCAGUGGGGAAUUUUGGACAAUGGGCGCAAGCCUGAUCCAGCAAUGCCGCGUGCAGGAAG